This 497-nucleotide ribosomal RNA is filed under the name uncultured bacterium. Its description in RNAcentral is "partial 16S ribosomal RNA". It matches the Rfam family "Bacterial small subunit ribosomal RNA", at positions 28 to 507 of the family's 1533-position model. The record is from RNAcentral.
GAUGAACGCUGGCGGCGUGCCUAAUACAUGCAAGUCGAGCGAACGGACGAGAAGCUUGCUUCUCUGAUGUUAGCGGCGGACGGGUGAGUAACACGUGGAUAACCUACCUAUAAGACUGGGAUAACUUCGGGAAACCGUAGCUAAUACCGGAUAAUAUUUUGAACCGCAUGGUUCAAUAGUGAAAGACGGUUUUGCUGUCACUUAUAGAUGGAUCCGCGCCGCAUUAGCUAGUUGGUAAGGUAACGGCUUACCAAGGCAACGAUGCGUAGCCGACCUGAGAGGGUGAUCGGCCACACUGGAACUGAGACACGGUCCAGACUCCUACGGGAGGCAGCAGUAGGGAAUCUUCCGCAAUGGGCGAAAGCCUGACGGAGCAACGCCGCGUGAGUGAUGAAGGUCUUCGGAUCGUAAAACUCUGUUAUUAGGGAAGAACAAAUGUGUAAGUAACUAUGCACGUCUUGACGGUACCUAAUCAGAAAGCCACGGCUAACUACGUG